Molecule: non-coding RNA, 216 nt
Filed under: Rubellimicrobium thermophilum
Lineage: Bacteria; Pseudomonadati; Pseudomonadota; Alphaproteobacteria; Rhodobacterales; Roseobacteraceae
Also listed under: 1 other name
Source: RNAcentral
UGUUGUCUCCGCGCCGAUGGUGUCCGGCCCCGGUGACGGGGUCGGCUGAAAAGGGAACACGGUGAGGAAGAGCCGAAGGGCGCCGAAUCCGUGACUGCCCCCGCAACUGUGAGCGGCGAGCCAUCCUGCAACGGCCACUGGGGCAUUGCGCUCCGGGAAGGCGCAGGACGGCCAGGACCCGCAAGUCAGGAGACCUGCCAUCGCAUCUUCAACCGC